This 222-nucleotide unclassified non-coding RNA is filed under the name uncultured Bacteroidota bacterium. RNAcentral's name for it is "uncultured Bacteroidetes bacterium contains 16S-23S intergenic spacer region". Lineage: Bacteria; Pseudomonadati; Bacteroidota. The record is from RNAcentral.
UCACUACUUGCGUAGGCAGUCUGGCUAGAGUCCCCACCAUUACGUGCUGGUAACUAACCACAGGAGUUGCGCUCGUUGCGGGACUUAACCCAACACCUCACGGCACGAGCUGACGACAGCCAUGCAGCACCUUCGCCGGCGCCCCGAAGGGAAGCUCCCUUUCAGGAGCGGUCGCCGGAGAUUUAGCCCAGGUAAGGUGGGGAUGACGUGGUACACCUGAAC